CCUACGGGCGGCAGCAGUGGGGAAUAUUGGACAAUGGGGGCAACCCUGAUCCAGCCAUGCCGCGUGUGUGAAGAAGGCCCUCGGGUUGUAAAGCACUUUCAGUGAGGAAGAACGCCUGGUGGUUAAUACCCAUCAGGAAAGACAUCACUCACAGAAGAAGCACCGGCUAACUCCGUGCCAGCAGCCGCGGUAAUACGGAGGGUGCGAGCGUUAAUCGGAAUUACUGGGCGUAAAGCGCGCGUAGGUGGCUUGAUAAGCCGGUUGUGAAAGCCCCGGGCUCAACCUGGGAACGGCAUCCGGAACUGUCAAGCUAGAGGGCAGGAGAGGAAGGUAGAAUUCCCGGUGUAGCGGUGAAAUGCGUAGAGAUCGGGAGGAAUACCAGUGGCGAAGGCGGCCUUCUGGACUGACACUGACACUGAGGUGCGAAAGCGUGGGUAGCAAACAGGAUUAGAUACCCGUGUAGUC
This 465-nucleotide ribosomal RNA is filed under the name Vreelandella stevensii. RNAcentral's name for it is "partial 16S ribosomal RNA". It matches the Rfam family "Bacterial small subunit ribosomal RNA", at positions 338 to 795 of the family's 1533-position model. The record is from RNAcentral. Lineage: Bacteria; Pseudomonadati; Pseudomonadota; Gammaproteobacteria; Oceanospirillales; Halomonadaceae.